UGAAUACGAGACGCUAAGGCGUCGAAGUUGUGUAUGUCAUACUUCCAAGAAAAGCUUGCACUGUCAUAAGUAAAAAAUGCCUGUACCAUAACCGACACAGGUGGGUAGGUAGAGUAUACUAAGGGGCGCGAGAUAACUCUCUCUAAGGAACUCGGCAAAAUAACUCCGUAACUUCGGGAGAAGGAGUACCUUAUUCUAUAAGGUUGCAAUAACAAGAUCCAAGCAACUGUUUAUCAAAAACACAGGUCUCCGCUAAGUCGUAAGACGAUGUAUGGGGGCUGACGCCUGCCCAGUGCCAGAAGGUUAAAGAAGUCGGUUAGCAUUAGCGAAGCUGGUAACUGAAGCCCUGGUGAACGGCGGCCGUAACAAUAACGGUCCUAAGGUAGCGAAAUUCCUUGUCGGGUAAGUUCCGACCCGCACGAAAGGCGUAAUGAUUUGGAUACUGUCUCGGAGAGGGGCUCGGUGAAAUAGACUUGUCUGUGAAGAUGCGGACUACCUGCACCAGGACAGAAAGACCCUAUGAAGCUUUACUGUAACUUGAAAUUGAAAUUGGACUUUAUUCGCGCAGUAUAGGUGGGAGGCGUUGAUUAUAAUCUUGCGGGAUUAUUGGAGCCAUCAGUGAGAUACCACUCUUGUAAUGUUAGAUUUCUAACUUUGAAUCAUUAUCUGGUCAAAGGACAGUUUCAGGCGGGCAGUUUGACUGGGGCGGUCGCCUCCCAAACGGUAACGGAGGCGUACAAAGGUUUCCUCUGAACGGGUAGAAAUCGUAUCUAGAGUGUAAAGGCAUAAGGAAGCUUGACUGUGAGACCUACAAGUCGAACAGGGACGAAAGUCGGUCUUAGUGAUCUGACGGUACUGAGUGGAAAGGCCGUCACUCAACGGAUAAAAGUUACUCUAAGGAUAACAGGCUGAUCUCCCCCAAGAGUUCACAUCGACGGGGAGGUUUGGCACCUCGAUGUCGGCUCAUCGCAUCCUGGGGCGGUAGUACGUACCAAGGGUUGGGCUGUUCGCCCAUGAAAGCGGUACGCGAGCUGGGUUCAGAACGUCGUGAGACAGUUCGGUCCAUAUCCGGUGUAGGCGUUAGAAUAUUGAGAGGAGCCUUCUUUAGUACGAGAGGACCGAGAAGGACAUACCUCUGGUGUACCAGUUAUCGUGCCAACGGUAAACGCUGGGUAGCUAUGUAUGGAGUGGAUAACCGCUGAAAGCAUCUAAGUGGGAAGCCCACCUCAAGAUAAG
This 1236-nucleotide ribosomal RNA is filed under the name metagenome. RNAcentral's name for it is "bacterial LSU rRNA". It matches the Rfam family "Bacterial large subunit ribosomal RNA", at positions 1564 to 2808 of the family's 2925-position model. The record is from RNAcentral.